Magnolia sinica is the source of this 1498-nucleotide RNA transcript. RefSeq lists it as uncharacterized. The transcript is spliced from 13 exons. The record is from RefSeq and is a predicted model, not a curated record. NCBI's taxonomy places the organism in Eukaryota, Viridiplantae, Streptophyta, Magnoliopsida, Magnoliales, Magnoliaceae.
UACGCGGGGCAGGUUGAGUUAUCGAUCGUGGGCCUCACUUGAUGAACGCAACCACUAUUCCACACACGUGCCGAUGCCCUCCUGCUGAAGAGCCGGAAGAAAAAAAAAAAGAGAGGCGAAGGUAAGAAAAUAAAAAAGCAAAACCCCCUCCUCAUCGACGGGGAAAAAAAUGCAAAAAUCUCGAUCUAAUCUUCUCUUCGAUGCUUGGUUCCCGAUUCUCUACCAUCUCAUACUCCUCCAAUUUCCCGCUAAAAUAUCUGGAAUUCGGAUGGAUGUUAGCCUUCGAGGGAAACAACUAUGCAGAACUACAGUUCAAGGAAGAUAUCUAAUAUCAGAUGAUAAUGGCCACGUGUGUGAUGCUCUAUCACUUGAUUCAUGGUCUCGCUGCUGUCCUGAAACAGGAGAGCAAUUCUCUUGUCAGGGAUGCAACCUUGUUGCACAAUGCUGCAACUCAUAUGAGUUCUGCGUUUCUUGCUGCCUGAAUCCAGCACAGUUACUUUUCCAGACACAAAAAGAGCUUGCUUUGAAGGUGAAGAUAGCCAAGCCAGUAACUGCAGGCACAUAUGCAAGUAUCUUUGAUUUCUGUGCCGGAUCAUGCCGUCAUAAUUCUGCUAGCGUGGUUCAUGAAAAUGCUUAUGUAAGUGACUUGCAUCACUGCUUCUCUCCGACGUCAAACUCUUCUGCAGGGGCUGCAGUUACUCGUUCGGAAGCCAGGUUGGCUGGCAUCAAUAUUGUCACCGGAAGGCAAGGGGAAUCCUGCAACACAGCCUGCAAGUCAAAGGGGCAAUCAUGCGUUCCAAGCAAGCUUUUGCUGCUAAAUACUUGCGAACUUCUGCAGAAGUACAUGAGCUGCAAGGGUGAUUGUUUAGCUAGCAUGGGAAUGGAUCAACCUGCAGAAGUUGUUGAUGAUGCGCCGAAGCAUUUGAAUCCAGGUGCGUGCUUGUAUACACGAAUGUCAACCAUGCUCUCAUGUGAUGGUACUCAUCAGCAUACGAGGAGACUUUGUCCCUGCGCAUAGUGUGUUUGCAUUGUUCCAUUUUAUUGGAUGGUUGACCCCCAAAUCAGUCCAAAGCAAUCAAUACAUGUCAUGUUUCUUAGCCUAGGGAACUCUCUAAUUAUGUUUGGAAAGAAAACAACGCCUGUUCGAGUAGAUUCUGUAAGCACGUAUGUCAAUGGAAGGACGGUCUUUUGCAAGCCCUGUUUUGCACGAAUUUUGAGGAAAGCUUGCUAGAGGUUGUGGGACAUUUAACAGGGAAAGCCUUAUAUGGUAAAACAAAUUCUGCUUUGUAAUAUCUUGUUGUAGAAUUUUCGUGUUUAUCAGAACGAAGCCAGCCUUUCCUACAUAGCUCUUCCUACAUAGCUUGUAUGAAGAGCUAUGUAGGAAGCCAGCACAUUACAGCACCUAUGUAGGAAGAGCUAGUGUUAUCUUAUUCUUCAAUUAUUUAUUUCAGCACCUACAUUGGCCAAAUAAAUGAGAAAGCAAUGGAAGUUGAGCUCA